CGGCUCGAGCAGGUGCGAAAGCAGGUCAUAGUGAUCCGGUGGUUCUGAAUGGAAGGGCCAUCGCUCAACGGAUAAAAGGUACUCCGGGGAUAACAGGCUGAUACCGCCCAAGAGUUCAUAUCGACGGCGGUGUUUGGCACCUCGAUGUCGGCUCAUCACAUCCUGGGGCUGAAGUAGGUCCCAAGGGUACGGCUGUUCGCCGUUUAAAGUGGUACGCGAGCUGGGUUUAGAACGUCGUGAGACAGUUCGGUCCCUAUCUGCCGUGGGCGCUGGAGAAUUGAGGGGGGUUGCUCCUAGUACGAGAGGACCGGAGUGAACGCACCACUGGUGUUCGGGUUGUCAUGCCAAUGGCAUUGCCCGGUAGCUAAGUGCGGAAAAGAUAAGUGCUGAAAGCAUCUAAGCACGAAACUUGCCCCGAGAUGAGUUCUCCCUGACUCCUUGAGAGUCCUGAAGGGACGUUGAAGACUACGACGUUGAUAGGCCGGGUGUGUAAGCGCAGCGAUGCGUUGAGCUAACCGGUACUAAUGACCCGUGAGGCUUAACCUUACAACGCCAGAGGCGUUU
RNAcentral lists this ribosomal RNA (564 nucleotides) under Pantoea agglomerans. Its description in RNAcentral is "bacterial LSU rRNA". It matches the Rfam family "Bacterial large subunit ribosomal RNA", at positions 2385 to 2925 of the family's 2925-position model. The record is from RNAcentral. Lineage: Bacteria; Pseudomonadati; Pseudomonadota; Gammaproteobacteria; Enterobacterales; Erwiniaceae.